CAAUUAGAUGUGAUCUGCCUUCUCCCCUACACAUAAUCAAAAGAGUAGCUGCUACUUAAAUGUGGAGGAAACUCAUAUAUGGAAUCAAAACAGUCACUGAAGAAAAAAAAAUUCCUCUUCUAAAACUCAAGGAAGGUGAUGACUUGGAGACUGUCUAGCAAUUGCUGUGCAUUAAUGGGGUGACAGUCAGAGGAAGACGCCUGGGGCAGAAGAGCUUCAGUGUAAGGAAAUCAGCCUUUACUGCUCUGCCCAAUCAUGUCAGCACCACUGCUCUUUCAAGGGGCUUCCCGCCAUUGUUGCUCCCUGCUCCGGAACACCCCAUGCUGCCAAAGCCACUGCAGGGGGUCACCUUUAACAGACAACCUCAUUUUCAAAUUUCCAGACCACUAAAUCAAAUGAACCAGU
This is a long non-coding RNA of Neofelis nebulosa (Clouded leopard), 405 nucleotides long. RefSeq lists it as uncharacterized. The record is from RefSeq and is a predicted model, not a curated record. NCBI's taxonomy places the organism in Eukaryota, Metazoa, Chordata, Mammalia, Carnivora, Felidae. The transcript is spliced from 2 exons.